UGACGCAGCAACGCCGCGUGAGUGAUGAAGGCUUUCGGGUCGUAAAGCUCUGUCAAGUGGGAAGAACCCUUGUCGGCGGAUUAUGCAGGGGAGCUGACGGUACCACUGAAGGAAGCACCGGCUAACUACGUGCCAGCAGCCGCGGUAAUACGGAGGGUGCAAGCGUUAUUCGGAAUUACUGGGCGUAAAGGGCGCGCAGGCGGCCUUGUAAGUCAGUUGUGAAAGCCCGGGGCUCAACCUCGGAAGUGCGACUGAAACUGUGUGGCUUGAGUAUGGUAGAGGGAAGUGGAAUUCCUGGUGUAGCGGUGAAAUGCGUAGAUAUCUGGAGGAACACCGGUGGCGAAGGCGACUUCCUGGACCAUAACUGACGCUGAGGCGCGAAGGCGUGGGUAGCAAACAGGAUUAGAUACCCUGGUAGUCCACGCAGUAAACGUUGAUCACUAGGUGUUGCGGGUAUUGAUACUUGCAGUGCCGGAGCUAACGCAUUAAGUGAUCCGCCUGGGGAGUACGGUCGCAAGAUUAAAACUCAAAGG
This 533-nucleotide ribosomal RNA is filed under the name uncultured bacterium. RNAcentral's name for it is "bacterial SSU rRNA". It matches the Rfam family "Bacterial small subunit ribosomal RNA", at positions 384 to 907 of the family's 1533-position model. The record is from RNAcentral.